GGGGGGGGCAAGCGUUUGUUCGGAUUUACUGGGCGUAAAGGGCUCGUAGGCGGCCAUCUAAGUCGGUUGUGAAAUCCCUCGGCCUCAACCGGGGAACUGCGACCGAUACUGGGUGGCUUGAAGCCGGGAGAGGGAUGCGGAAUUCCAGGUGUAGCGGUGAAAUGCGUAGAUAUCUGGAGGAACACCCGUGGCGAAGGCGGCAUCCUGGACCGGUCUUGACGCUGAGGAGCGAAAGCUAGGGUAGCAAACGGGAUUAGAUACCCCGGUAGUCCUAGCCCUAAACGAUGAAUGCUUGGUGGCGGGUAUCGAUCCCCUGCCCGUGCCGUAGCUAACGCGUUAAGCAUUCCGCCUGGGGAGUACGGUCGCAAGGCUG
Molecule: ribosomal RNA, 373 nt
Filed under: uncultured organism
Description: partial 16S ribosomal RNA
Rfam family: Bacterial small subunit ribosomal RNA
Source: RNAcentral